UCUGAAGACAGCAUCUUCAGCUGGUCAGUGGGACUGCCCUCUGACGGUGUCGGCAGCACCGCAGUUCAGAGGUGGUGAUGGAAAUGGCUCUUGGUGACCCCAUCUCUCAGAUCCAGGAGGAUACUUCGAGAAGGUGCUGGUGCCUUCUGUCUUCAAGGAGCCGGCCUUAGAGAUGGAGCAAGCAGGCUCCUUUAAGACACAUCUGUGCUCAUAAUUACGUGCUGCUGAAGAGGCUGCUCAUGACUCACGUGGGACUGGACCAUUUGUACAUCUUCUGUGCAAAGUGCUCGUUUUCAGCUUGCAUUUAUUGGCACUGUUCAACUUAGGAGCUAAAGAAGAGAUACAAACAGCAUCCCUGUGCGUUAGCAACGUGCCAAGUGUAACAGAUGAACGCGCUUCUGUGGAGUGUCGCUCCAUCUUAGCCAGUCAGAUUGCUCACUGCUCUGCCUCCAUGGCCAGGGAAAACAUCUCUCCAGAGCUGUGGCUUCCAUUUAUGGCUCAAAGAAAACUGCUUCCUACAAAUCGCUGUCAUAAAUCAAAAGCAGGAAGCCUGCCUCCUUGGAUCCAAUUGAGUAGAUCUCCGAUUGCCAGGUCUCUGUGGAGUUCAGGAGAUUUAU
This is a long non-coding RNA of Dama dama (fallow deer), 617 nucleotides long. RefSeq lists it as uncharacterized. The transcript has 3 exons. Lineage: Eukaryota; Metazoa; Chordata; Mammalia; Artiodactyla; Cervidae. The record is from RefSeq and is a predicted model, not a curated record.